UAUUGAACAGGAACGAUUUAUCAUGGAUAGGCACCUUCUUUAUUGCAAUGGAUGGGACGUUUCGGUGUAGAUGCUGACACCUCACUUGUUGACAAUGGUGU
Haliotis rubra (blacklip abalone) is the source of this 101-nucleotide long non-coding RNA. RefSeq lists it as uncharacterized. The record is from RefSeq and is a predicted model, not a curated record. The transcript is spliced from 3 exons. NCBI's taxonomy places the organism in Eukaryota, Metazoa, Mollusca, Gastropoda, Lepetellida, Haliotidae.